This 529-nucleotide ribosomal RNA is filed under the name uncultured bacterium. RNAcentral's name for it is "bacterial SSU rRNA". It matches the Rfam family "Bacterial small subunit ribosomal RNA", at positions 775 to 1302 of the family's 1533-position model. The record is from RNAcentral.
AGUCAAUAGAUACCCGGGUAGUCCACGCCGUAAACGAUGAGUACUAGGUGUAGGAGGUAUCGACUCCUUCUGUGCCGCAGUUAAACACAAUAAGUACUCCGCCUGGGAAGUACGGUCGCAAGAUUAAAACUCAAAGGAAUUGACGGGGGCCCGCACAAGCAGCGGAGCAUGUGGUUUAAUUCGAAGCAACGCGAAGAACCUUACCUAGACUUGACAUCUCCUGAAUAGCGCAGAGAUGCGUGAAGCCCUUCGGGGCAGGAAGACAGGUGGUGCAUGGUUGUCGUCAGCUCGUGUCGUGAGAUGUUGUGUUAAGUCCCGCAACGAGCGCAACCCCUAUUAUUAGUUGCUACCAUUAAGUUGAGCACUCUAAUGAGACUGCCCGGGGUUAACCGGGAGGAAGGCGGGGAUGACGUCAAAUCAUCAUGCCCCUUAUGUCUAGGGCUACACACGUGCUACAAUGGUGAGAACAACGAGAUGCAAUACCGCGAGGUGGAGCAAAACUUGAAAACUCAUCUCAGUUCGGAUUGUA